Molecule: long non-coding RNA, 10972 nt
Filed under: Homo sapiens (human)
Lineage: Eukaryota; Metazoa; Chordata; Mammalia; Primates; Hominidae
Description: HSALNT0364198
Source: RNAcentral
AAGUGAGACCCUGUCUUUAUUUAAAAUUAAGGAAAAAUAAAGAUACGAUACUGUAUGCAGAUUUAAAUCAUUUUGAGCAAGUCGUAUUUUCUUGCCACCUUGGAAGAGUCAAUUAACAUUUAUUGCUGGCCACAUGGCAGACAAUAUGCUCAAUGCUUCAUGGGCAUUAUCUCAUUUCUGUUUUAAAUUACAAAAUGAAGUCUAUGGAUGUUGAAAAUUUUGAAAGAUAUAGAAAAACACAGGAUAAAAAUUGAGAGGCUCUCGUCUCUUCUGCCUUCCCUUACCUUCUCUCUCACUGCUCUCUUUCCCUACAGCUUACCCUAGUGGUACAUGUAUGGUUGUGUGCCGGAUAUGUAUGUGUGUGUUUGUGGGUAGCUGUGUGUACAUACACACAUAACCAUACAAACAAGACCAUAGCUAUUUAUUGUAUUAAGACUUUUCCCCCCUUUUUAAUAGUGUAAUUUGGAUAUUUUCCUGCCUUCUACCAAAUACAUAAAUAUCAUGUUUCUUAAUACUCUUAAUAGUCUAUUCCAUAGUUUAGACUGUAUUUAACAACUCCCUUAUCAUUAGAUAUUUAGGCUUGUCCAGCUUUUUGCUAUCACAAACAGGGAUCUUGGUGUAUAUGUGAAUGUUGGCAGCAGGUUAGCAGAGCACCAGAAGUGGGACUACUGGUCAAACCUUUGCACAAAAAUCAUACAGCCUCUAAUAGCAUUUCCCAGAGAAGAAAAGGGCCUUGUCUGGAACACAGAUCAAGAACUCUUAACUUUUUCUGAUCCAUGCUUUACAUUGCCACUUGAUAAAUACUACAUGUCAUCUCUAAGUACCACUAAAUCUCCCAUCUGGAGAGAUGGGACACUCUCCUUUAUACCUUUGAUGACUUUACUACCCAUGAUAAAAGCAGGAGAUCCCACCUUCCAGCUGCCCCUUCUUAAACAUCUAACUCUGUGCAAGUCCCAACCCUCAUUUAAUCACUUUGCUACUUCAUUGCAUUCAUCACACCAACUUGCAGUUAUUUGUACAGUUGUUCAUCUUCCAUUAGACUGAGCCCUCUGAGGGCAGGAAAUAUUUUUCAUUCUUCUUGGAACUUCCUUUUCCUAACAUAGUGUCUGAGAUGCUCAAUAAACUUUUUUUUGAGUGAAUAAAAAAUAAAUGAGGGAGUAGAAUACCUAGAUGAAUUCAGUUAUAAAAUGGCUCCAGGUACUGAAAUUGUCCAUUUUCAUUUUUAUGUUUUUGCAAUAAGAAAGAUGAACAUGCAUCUCCCCUAGUGCUACUUUUUUCAAAACUAAAUAUUCUAAUUCCAAGGCUUUAUUUCCGUCAAAUAACUACCACUUCCAAAUUCUUCUGUUAUUUUUAUUGUUCUCCAGGAUCUCUCCAUCUCAAUCAUGUCAUACAUUGGAAACAAUUCUCUGACACUUCAUCUAUAUACAAUCAACACUUUGUUAGGCUCUUGUAGCUGCCUCAUUUUUUGUAACACAAUAGAAUACUUGCCUUAAUAAUAAAUUAUAUUUGCCUUACAGUAUGGCUUAUUAGAUACCCAAAAUGUUUUCUGCCAUGCUUUCGAAAUGUUUUGACUGCAUGACAUUCUAUGGUGUUAAAAUUCCCCAAAAUGAAUGAUUUAUACUGCAUUUGCCUUAAUUGGAAUCUAUCCUGUUUUCAUCUUUCCUACUUUGACAGUCAUCUCAAUGUAAAUCCUGUGUCAGAGGUGCUUAUCUGUCUCUUUGCUACUUUUCUUUGAAAACUAAACAUAAACACAAGAAAUUUCACAUAGUAAAACUAGUAAGAUCUGGGUUUAUAAAUAUAAAUGGUGCAUCUGUGGCGGCAGAGCUCUGUCUCCAACUUCUUGGAGAUAAACAAGUUCAUAGUUAGAAAUGCUCUAGAAGUAAACAGGAAACCUGCUACACAAAUUGUGAAAUAUAAGUAUGUUUUAUAGAAGUCCUGAAAUUGUAUUUUUCAACAAGUUAAAACAGAAAAACCUAACACUACCAUAUCCAUUAAAUAUUAAUUCUCUCUUCCUCAAAUGUUUUACUCAUAUCUAUGCCUGUCCCUUUGGAACAUUUUUCAGUCAAAUUCAUAACACUGUCUUGAUUCCAAGCCUCAGGAGAACAUUUGAAUGAAAUUUUCAAAUGCUUCAAUUUUUAUAUCAUCCAAUGUGGAAUUCACAUUUACUGAGCACCUGCAAUGAGCUAGGAUCUGUACUACAUACUUUUAAAAAUACAUUAUUUUUCCUAAGAAAGUUCUGAGGUAGAUAUAUUAUUUUACAGAUGAGGAAACAGAGGUUCAGAGAGGUUAACUGACUUCACAAAAGUCAUAGAGCUACUAGGUAACAGAGCUCAUUGAACAUGGAGCUAGGAUUCAACCCUGGAUCGCCGUGAAGCCAUUUUGUUUCCAUGACAUCAUGACAUUGGUUAUAACACCACAAUUGUUUAGAAUAUAAGGCUUGUUUAGAAUGCAAGGCUUCCUCAAUUCUCCACCCUUCCCCUCUUGACAUCUUGCUCUUCUUCCCUUCAUCUAUUGUGUUAGUCAGGUGCAUGCUGGUCUUCCCUCUAUCAAACUGUAAGCUACUUGGAGACUUGGGAUGCCUCACUCAUCUCUAUUCCCAAACCUCAGGGUCUAUCAUUCUACCUUCUGUAUAGACAGGACUUUCAUAGUUUUGAACAAGUCAGAACCUGAAAGAAUUUGCUUCCAGAACAGGACAUUGACAGGAAAAUUAAGCAUGAUCAUGCCGAGGAAUAAGAAUUGGACCUACCUCAAGAUCUGUUGAGAAGAUUAUGAGAGAGCUGAUGGAUCUAAAAGAUUGGCGCUUGAUAGAAUUGGGAUCAUUUGUUUUGACUAGAACAAUCUCUUGCAGCUUGGAUGGAGAAACUUUACAGAGGUUUCAGCCAAACACUCAUGAAUUCUUUAAUGUGUGAAAUAAAGUAAGUUUUAUAGGCAAAUAACAAUCUGAAUCCCUAACUAGCUAUUUCAUAUAAUAUGCAUAUAACUCUGAAAAUUACAUACAUCAAAUUUCAAUUUGGCUUCAUGCAUGCUUUGUUUUAUAGAUUCAUAAAGGCAGAUUUUCUCUGAUUAUCAGACUUAUUGCAAAAUGGAGUCAACACAGAAACUUCCUGAAGUUGGCAAAGCUUGUUUUCUUUGGCUGACAGGAGUAACUGAUGUAUUAUUAUUUUUUAAGGCUCUGAGAUAAAUCUGAUUCAUGUUUGAAUCAUAAGUUUAUUAUUGAUUUUUAGUGUGGAUUUUGCAUAAGAUACUCAAUUUAGAGAAUACUCAGCUUUCUCAUAUGCAGAAUAGAAAAAAAGUAGUUACCUGAUCAGAUUUUUUGAAAGGUAAAUGCAACAGCAGUUGUAAAUGGCAUAGUCCAUUGUUAGGAAUAGACUAGGUGUUCAAUAAAUGAAUAAAAAAAAACCGUGAAGCUCUCCUGAAGCUUUAUAUUCCCUGUCUAUAAAAUGGAGACAUCACUGAUUUCCUGCUUACAUUACAAGACUGCUGUGAAGAUCAAAUGAAGAAACAGAUAAAAAUGUUUGGUAAACUGAAUUGUACAGUAUAAAUAGAAAGCGGUGACAAAAGUAAUUCAUACCAAUGCAGUUUUUUAAAAAUAUCCCAACCUGCCUACACAACUACUUCCUCUCUCUGAGAUUUAUCUCAAAAGUGGAAUUAGAUUCCUGUCUUAGCUGUAAAAAUAAAGCCACAAAGGGCAUCAUGCAUGAGAGAGUAAAUGUGAAACUCUGUGGGGGAAAAUGGAAACUUCAGAUAUUAUUAGGGCCUAGCUGCCAAUGGUGAUUCUCUCAAGAUUUUAUUGGCAGGUUGAGUGAAAGUGCCAGAGUGUGGAUGCACAAAUUGUAGUUUAAUUGGUGUGAUUUAUAGCUAAUGGUGCAUCAGAAGGAGGAACUAGGAACUGUGCCUUCUAAUUUAAGGCAUAGUACCUAAGACUGCAUCCACUAGGUAAGAAAACCUUCCUUGGCAAACUCAAAUAUUAAAUCUUCGCUGAAUUUGUCUUGUUCUUUUAUAUAAAAAUCAUGGAGCCAGGAGCUAAAAUAAUAUCUAAGUUUCCUCUUUGCCUGACGCCAUCCAUGCAAAAUGUGACUUGCUUCUUCAGCAGCAGCAUGAAAACAAACUAAUACACCACUAUUCCUAGGUAAGUAGAGCCACAAUGGGAAGACCACUAAGGGAAUAUGGAGGCUCACAGAGGCUAGUCAAUUUAUCCAAGGCCACGCAGCAAAGCUGGGACUCAAACUCAAAUCUUCUAGUCCUAGUUUCAUUCAGUUUUUUUUUUUUCCUACAUUGAUUCUAGACUUUGUUCUACAAGUGACUACUUUUCUGUUUUGUUCCUGACAUGAACAUGUCCAUGGCUGUCUCAGACUUGUUUGGUUACCCUAAGUAACCAUUUAGCAGCCAAUUUCUGAUAUGACUAUAGAUACAUCUCUAUAAGUGAAUUCUAUAGGUGAUUUGGCAUGAUCAAAAUGAAAAGGCUUUGUUUGAGUUCCCCAAUAUACUGCUCAAAUGAAAGCUUCUCAAAAUAUCAUUUUGAGAUACGACAGGUCUUUCCUUCAAAUACAACAGAUACUUUUCUUUUGCAGCACUCAGCAUACAUACAACUAUUUAUUUAUCUGUAAGUACUUGCUUAGUAUCUGUGAAGAACAUUGCAGGUACCUGACAUAUGUCUAACUGAUGGAGUGAGGCUGCUAAUGUGGCCAUCUCUCCCUCUUCCUGAUAAGAAAGUGAACCAGCCAUUUCAAAAUGUGGAGAAUUCGAUAAAUAUGUUCUACUCCUCUAUAGCCCUCCCACUAAAAUAAUUUUCAAUUUUCAAUUGAGGUGAAAGGAAGAAUCGGCAAAGAGACGGAUUGAGAGAAUUGUUUAUACUCAUAACUUCGUUCUCAACAUAAUUAUCUAUUUCUGAAUCCUAAAAAUCACCUAGCUAGAUUCUCCCUCAAUCUGAAGAUUACCUUUUACUCCUUGAGAUGCUAAAUGUGUUCCUAUUUAUCAUAUUAAUAUUGCGAGUAUUUUGUGUUAUGCAGCCAGAAAAAUCACAUAAUGGGAACUUACCCACAGCCCCCAAACUCAUAAACAGGAGCUGAAUAGAAAUUCCUCAGUGCAAUUUAUGGUAACAAUUUCAUGCUCAGUUUAGUUACUUCCAUGACUCAGAAAAGAAAUUUCUUUUGCUUAUUUCAGUAAUUUUUUUCUAAAAAAUUGUUCCCCUAAUUUUUGGCAAAGGAUCUAUGAGAAAGUGAAGAACUCCCUGGUUGUACAUGGAUUUGGAAUUGUCACUUAAGUGAGGCCAAAAUGUAACCCUAUGCCAUUCAUUGCAUAGUACCAUUUGUUAUAAAUUUGACCUCUAAAACAAAGAUAUUACAAAGCCAUUGAGUGUUUUUUUAAGGGAUAUAUUAUAUUUGUCACUUAGUCCCCAGUAUUAUGAUGGAAAACCUGGAUAGUGGAUAGAAAACCUGGAGGUCAUUUAGGCAUCUCUUUCACUGGUUGGGUGAGAAAUGGUGAAGAAGAUGGGAAUGGAGAAGGGACAUACAUUUGGUAAGUGUAAAUAAGAGUCUUUGCUGAUUAAUUCAGUGUGGCCCAUGAGAAAGAGUGGAAGUGUCCAAGGUUCCCUCAGGUUUACAGCUUGGGCAACUGACUGAGAACAGAAAGGAGCUGCCAUUGAGAGGAAGAAAAGAAAAUGACACUGAGUCCAUGUUGGGACACAUUGGGUUUAAAGGGAUAUCAUUAUGACCUAAGCUCUCUGAAUUCCAGUGACUGGGAAUAUGGGAAGAUACAUCUUUAACAGUUGAAGCAAUUUAUACACUUUAACAAUUGAAGCAAUUUAUACACCAGAGCCUAAGGAAUAUUUAUAGAUGAGGGCUGUGCUGCAAUGACAGAUAGGGUUGUAUGAAACAUACACUAAUCUGACCAUUCUAUCCUCCAGACUCAGGGAAGGAAAUAAUAAAAGUAAGUAACCAUAAAAAAUAGACUUUUAUGCAUAAAUAAAUAAAAAUCAGCUAGGAGACAGUUCAUCCCUGUAUAAGUAAAACAGGCAAAUUUAUCUUUCCUCUGAUUAAUAAUUUAAGAAAAAAUCCCAAGCAAGCUGCCUAUGGAGGUGUAGGAGUAGCUCCUAUAAUUAGACUCCAAUUUGAACCAUGAGGGUGAGGAUCAGAAAGCUGACUCAGAGCCUGGUGUCAAUUAUUUGCAGUUUGUACAACGAAAGGCUAAAAAUUUGGGAGAUGCAGGAUGACUGAAGCCCGAUUCUGGGGGUUGUUACAGCACAGUUACAGGGUAAGUUUUUUCCAUUGUUAUUUGCUGGAAAAUUUAUUCUCCAUCUCCUUUAGUCUGUGCCUGAAUUUUGUGGGACUUGCUCGAGAAUGGUAUUCAUGCUUUAAAUCCAAGAGCCAGGAAUCAUCGCAUUUCAACAAUUUUCCUAUUUAUUUUAACCAAAACAGAGCUGGUUUCUAUAACUCAAUUUAAGAAAUUAUCCUCUUUGAUACAAUCUACUUAUGUUUGAUUGAUUUUAGAAUAAACUAACAGAUACACAAGAGCUUAUCAAGCUAGCUCGGUUCAGUGGAGAACUAUAGCAGAAACAGCAGGUUUCUAUUUGGCACAUUUUGGAUUUAUCUGGACGCAAGAGGAUGUGAAAAGAACACCUUUCAGACAAAAGCCAGUCUUGAGUAGGAAUUUAGUGUUCCUUGCCCAAACAGCUUAGUUUGUUUCCCAUUUUGAGUCACUAUCUGAAUCCUUUUUUAUCUCCUAUAUAGAACAAAUUCUCUCCCUCUAUUUAAUAGGCUUUCAGAUAUGAAACAGAGAGAGAGAGAGAGAGAGGAAGGAAGGAAGGGAGGGAGGGAAAGAGAAAGGGAAAGAAGGAAGGAAAAGCUCUAAUUUCUUCUGUUCUUUUGGUAACACACCUCCCCUUCACAUCCUUCAGCUGCUCCCCUUAGGGCUUUUUGUAGACACUUUUGGUGGUCUCUCCUCUCACACACUGCUCACCACUGUACUUUAUUUUGUAUCAUCUGUCUCCAUCCUUUCCCAACUCCUGAGCACUCAGCCUCCUCUGGAUCUUUUCUGGUUCCUUCGCUCCUAGAACUGUGUCUGAUGGCUUAUGAAGGCAAAUGACAAAUGUUUGCCAUAUGCACAUGUAUGUGCAUGAAUGAAUACAUCCAGGUUCUGACUUCCUCGGGGCAACCUCUACUUUCUCAAUGCCCCUCUUAAGAUGGGGGUGGGGGAGGGUCCUCCUAGAACUGAACAUGAUAUUCCAGGUGUGAUCUAAUACAUUUAAAUGUCCAAAAGCUCUUUCUUCCCUAAACGUUCCUUUUUAAAAGCUACUGUUCUCAAUUAAUGGGUGUCUCAUCUUCUUAAGUAUAUUAAUAAGAGGUAUUUUGAUGUUUCCCUCCAUUCUGUGGAUUACCUCUUGAUUCUCUGGAUUCUUUGUGAUUCCGUUUUGUUUUAAGGAUGUUCUCAGGUGUCUGGUGAUCCUUGCUUAUAAGUCCAAAUUAAUGAUGAGGCACUAAAAUGCUGAUUGGAAGCUCUCUGUGCAGGCAGGUAUUGUUGAAUAGUGGUAAACAGGGGACAUGUUCAUUUUGGAGACACUCAAAUAUCAGGACCUAUAAAUCUCUAUGCCAAGUCAGUUUCCCCAGAGUCUCUUAAUAUCAUUUCUUUCAGGUUAAAAGCCUGGUUACCAGGUUCUGGGAGUGAAGGGAGGAGUGGGGCUUAGACAAGGGUGGGGGCGGGGGUAUGUCUCACAAUUCACUAAAUACCUUCUUUUAUAUAUGUGUUCUCUGUGCAGCAUUUUACCCCCACCAUCGUCCAUGUCUGAUGCCUCAGGUUCAAUCUUGUUCAGUCUUUCCAAAGAGGAAACAUUGGUUGGGUGGGAAUGAUUGGCAGGUCGAAGAGAGAAUUUGAAGCUAUAGCUGCUCCUUUUAAAACUUCUAACUCAUCUUUGUUUUUUCAGGCCUUCCUCACACCCAUGUCUUCAGAUACCCAAGGCCUUUAAUACCCAAGUCCUUCCAGGAUUCUGCACAUCUCAUUAGCUUCAUAUUCCCGUAAGUACUUGGGUUUCUGCUUUCUCAGCUCUGAUGUGUCAUUUUCUAAUCAAUCAUCAGCAUUCCAGCUUCCAAAGUUUUGUUCAUAUAUCUUACAUGUGUUGUCUUGACCGACUUCUUUUUGGACCUUAGAUUAUUUACCUAUUUAAAUUCCUUAAUUGUUACUUUAGUGGAGUUUUGGAAGGGAACAAAAAUAUAGGCAGGUGUUUAUCACAUUUAACAAGGAACUCAAAAUUUAUAUUUAAUUCUAUUUAAUCUGGCUGCCUUCUUGCCAUCAGUCUAUUUGAAAAGUUCAUAUGGACCCAGCUCUGUCAUCAUCACAUGUUCUAUAUCCCCAAACCUUGUGACAUCUGCAAAGAAGUACAGAAGACCUCAAGAGAAGAUAAGCUAGAAUUUAUUUAUUUUUAUACCUUUUAUUCAGUUUUUAUUAAAGCUUUCCUACCUUUCCAGAUUGACACAGAAUUAUUCCAUGAAUCUGUCUAUUAAUCCAUUUACAGCAAGUGCUGGGGAUAGAAAUUAAGGUUUAAACAUAUAAUUCCUGCCAUCAAAGGACUCCCUGUUGAUUAGGGGACACAGGCAAGAAAAUAGACAGUAAGUUUGUUAAGGCAUGAACAAAGAACUGUGUUGGUACACACAGUACAGAGAGGAAGUACAAAGAGGAUGGUGCUUAAGAAGAGUUAACACCUAGACCUAAUCUUAGAGGAUGAGGAAGCAUUGGGUAGACUAGAAGACUAGGUGUAGGGGUAAAGGAAGGCAUAUCAGAGAAAAGGGAGCAGCUACAUAGAGGCAAGGACUAUGCCUCUUCUGCCUCUGAAGAGGAGAAAUUUCUUUCAAUCAAUAGAAAGUGCAGGACAAAGGGUACUAAGUCAUCUUUUGAUGGGAUAACUUGAUGUUAGUGUCCUUCCAUGAGAAAAUGGGAAGCAGCCCCUUAUAAUAAAACCUCUGGCUUUUGAAUUACCAAGUAAAACUGAGGUGUCAGCAACCCUUGGCUGAAUGUGGAACUUGCUAAUAGAACCCCUACAUUCAUGGGAAGGGAUAAAAGAGCUUUAAAAAGUACAAAAGCAUUGUGUGAAUAUAUGGGAUUAAUAUUACUACUACAAUAUUGCCUACCACCACCAUCCCCAGCCCUGAGGAGUCUUCUUAAACUUACAAAAUGAAGCUGCUUCUCUAUGGAUGUAGACAUUUCCUGGUUUCAACAUUGCACCAUAGCUAUGCAUUAUGUCAACAUUGGGAAAAGGCAGGGUGGAAGGUGCACAGGAGCUCUCUGUACAUUUCUUUGAAACUUCCUUUAUACCUUUUAAAAGUUAAAAAGCAGCAGCAGUGGCAGCUUCUCAAGGCCAAAGAUGGGGAGCUCUAUUUCAUUUGCAUUUCUACUCAGGGCUAUAAUGAAUUGAACUCAAUGUGUUGCUAAAGAUUAUUAUGAAAUUAAAAUCCAAUUAGGAUGGUCUCGUGGGUCUGGUAAAAGCUUGGAUUAGAGACCAGGCACAACACGGGGUUGGGGGAGAUGGACUGCUCAAUAGAAGUAGGGCUGAGUGGGGAGUUUAAAGCACUGGCCUCUAAGUAUAGGAACCACUGUACAAAUUUUAAAAUAUACUCAGGAUAGUUAAUAUUUGAUCAAAAUCCACUGUGAAGUGAGGAAUUUUUCCUGCUGGGCAUUCUAUUUUCCAGUUCUAUGAUCAAGCCCAGUGACUGGUAAAUACAAUAUGCCCCACUAGCCCCCAGCUUCUCCCAGCUCCUGUUCCCUCCUGGUGCUCAAAGGGAGAAAGGCUAAGAAAUUCCAAGCCCUGGUCAGGAAAGUGAUCUUGAAAUCACACACAAUGAAUAGUGCCAUCACUAAUGACUCAGCUUGUAAAGAACCAGUGAAGUGAGGAAAUUCUUUCUAUGCACAGAAUGUCUAGAUAUUUAGGCAAAAUUGAAGGGGAUGAGGCAGGAAUAACCAGGACAAACUCAGUAAGAACUUCAACCCUGGUUUUCUCAAGAUUCAGUUUAUGUGCUGAUCAUUUUCUCUCAUAUCUAAUUCCCUUACUUCCCCUGCUCUGUUUUACAUCGAAAGUGCUGACUUCAUGCAAAUUACAUGCAAUUUGCAUGUAAUUUGGAAUUUGCUCCCUGGGAAAAUCACUUCUGACUAGGUUCAGCCAAUGGGAGGCACUAACAGGAGAUUGGAGGGUAGGAGGAAGGGAGGCAUAAGGGAAUUUCUUUCCCCUCUCUGUUUCAGGUGGCAUUUCAAGAAUGUCUGUUUUUCCUCCAUGAUUUCUAUAGAUAUUCCUUAAUUUUCAAGUCUCCAUUAGCAUAGGUAUGAAGGUUUCUCAAUGUGCUCUUGCUUUGGCUUCCUUUAGUCAGAAUAGAAAGAGAAAGUUUUUUAACUUUAUUCAAACAUAUUAGGGGUUUGCUAGAGAAUACAUUAUUUGCCCCUAGUUAUCCUGAUGUUAUAAAAGGAGGCAGACCUGGACAAGUGUAAAUUAGCACAGACAUUCUAACAAUCACCAGAAAAAUGCACCCAUAAGUAGUGCCAAUGCAAGAAGUUUUGACUGUAAUGCCCGUGUGCAGUAGGCUGAAUGAUGGCCCCCAAGUAUAUCUAUAUCCUAAUCCCGAGAACUUGUGAAUGUUACUUGCUAUGCUGAAAGGGACUUUGAAGGUGUGAUUAAGGGUUUUGAGAUGGGGAGAUUUUCCUGGAUUAUAUGAAUGUGUCCUAAAUAUAAUCACACAGGUCCAUGUAAGAGGUAGGCAAGGUCAAAGGAGGAAAUAGAAGGUAAGAUAAUGAAAACAAGAGGUUGGAGGGCUGUGAGGAAGGGGGUCACAAGCCAAGAAGCAUAGGUGGCCUAGAGAAGCUAGAAAACACAAAGAAAUGGAUUUCUUAUAGAGUCUUCACGGGGGACUAGCCUUGCUCACACCUUGACUUUAGCCUAGUGAAACUGAUUUCAGACUUCUGGCCUCCAAAACUGUAAGAGAAUAGAACUGUGCUG